This 75-nucleotide transfer RNA is filed under the name Staphylococcus pseudintermedius. RNAcentral's name for it is "tRNA-Asn". It matches the Rfam family "tRNA". From Rfam's summary of the family: Transfer RNA (tRNA) molecules are approximately 80 nucleotides in length. Lineage: Bacteria; Bacillati; Bacillota; Bacilli; Caryophanales; Staphylococcaceae. The record is from RNAcentral.
UCCACAGUAGCUCAGUGGUAGAGAUAUCGGCUGUUAACCUAUCAGUCGUAGGUUCGAGUCCUAACUGUGGAGCUA